This is a non-coding RNA of Ceratotherium simum simum (southern white rhinoceros), 345 nucleotides long. Lineage: Eukaryota; Metazoa; Chordata; Mammalia; Perissodactyla; Rhinocerotidae. The record is from RefSeq and is a predicted model, not a curated record.
AAGGGUUGUUCAGCAUUUUGUAACACUAAUAUUUAUUGAAUGUUUUUAGAUACUGAAGAUACAAAGAUGCGUAUGACACAGUUCCUAUCCUUAAAGAACUCACAGUCGAGUGCAAAGGAAUCAGAAAUACAUGUCCAGGUGAAAUUAGCAGUUAUAAAUUAUUAACUCAUAUCUAGAAAGCCAAUAAUCAGAGUCACUUCUUCCCAAUAGCAUUUCAAUACUUCCAAGCUAAGGUUGACGCUGUUAUAUAAAAAAAUGAAUUCUAUUGAUAGGUACUAGAUACAUUAUUUUCAUUUUCUAUAUGUAAUCAAAAUGCCAAAUCCACUCUAAAUAUUUUCUUGAGUU